GGGGGAGGGUGUGAAUUGGUGUUGUUUCAAAAACACUUUCUUUUCACAAUUUUGCAAUCAAAGUAUAAAGCUUUUUGAAAUUUCUUGAAUUGCAAGCAAUCAGAAUAUGUAUGCAGCGAAAAUUACGUAGUUGACUGCGUAAAGAAUAAAGUCGACUGGAAUGUAAAAGAUAAGGGAUAGAGAAAUGCAAACACAUAUUUUGAGUAUUCCUCCCUACACCUCACCAACUUCAUCCUGCACCUCCUAAAUUCUUUUGAAUUCCAACUGUAUCCCUAAGUCUAUUCCUAAGUCUAGUUUUGUCAGUGAUCAGAACAUAUUUUGAUUUUCAAAAAAUAUUGACCCAUCCAGUCAUAAGCUGCAGACCCUACACUCCUUUUCUUGUUUCUCCUCUUUGUUAUCCUUUCUUCCUCUGAGUGGUCUUCCUUUCCCUUCUCUCUCAUUUGUUCACUGUGUAUUUCGCGUUGGCGUCGUGGUUUGCUCUCUCCCUCUUUUCUUCACUCGUGUUGGUGUCGUGGUUGCAGGUUGUCUUUUUCUCGUACAUCAACGUCCAUUUUGAUUUGUGGUUGAUGUAGUAUAUGUGACGGUAGAAAUAAUAGAAU
Molecule: long non-coding RNA, 599 nt
Filed under: Vigna radiata
Lineage: Eukaryota; Viridiplantae; Streptophyta; Magnoliopsida; Fabales; Fabaceae
Description: long non-coding RNA (VRAD_LNC015613)
Source: RNAcentral